AGGGACAUCAGACAGAGCUACAACCAGUGAGGGACAAAAGUGAGGCAGCUGCUGAAGAGGCUGAAUUGGUUUGAUCCAGAGAGGCAGUUAUGCAUAAGAGCAACCACUCUCUAUUGAAUUAGGAGAUCUCUCAUGCAACACAUCUCACCAAUUACAAGUCCCCAUUAGCCACCACGAUGGCUGGAGAAGAGUGGAUCAUCACAAAUGGUGACAACUGUGGUGCUAUCCCACUGUCAAUGCAGGAGAGAGCAAUACACACAAGACAGUUCAGUUCACAAGUCCAUCAGAAGCAGACUGCAGUUGCAUGAAGGCGCUGGCAAGUGAAAUCGAGGACCAUUAAUUAACCCAGGAGCAGAGUGAGGGGUAAGCUGGGAAAAUCAGCAAGGACCAGAAAGAGAGUGCAGGGAUCUUCCAGAUCCCGAGAGAAGCAGAGCCCAGUGUGUACAAGUGGGAACAAGUCACCAGGAACAACAUAAAAGGAUCUCUCUAAGAAGUGAAGUCUUAAUUUUUCCAUAAGAUAAAUUAAUCAAACACAGUGACCCCUUAGAUUUGAUAUCAUUGCAUGAAUAGUAAUAUAUAAAUAAUAAAGCCAACAUGGGCUCACAACCUGCAA
RNAcentral lists this long non-coding RNA (613 nucleotides) under Mus musculus (house mouse). RNAcentral's name for it is "predicted gene 12665, transcript variant 2 (Gm12665)". The record is from RNAcentral. Lineage: Eukaryota; Metazoa; Chordata; Mammalia; Rodentia; Muridae.